RNAcentral lists this long non-coding RNA (585 nucleotides) under Rattus norvegicus (Norway rat). RNAcentral describes it as "long non-coding RNA NONRATT023723". The record is from RNAcentral. Lineage: Eukaryota; Metazoa; Chordata; Mammalia; Rodentia; Muridae.
CAGGAGGCUGUACCCAGGGGUGGCACGGAGUGUCCGGGUCGCUUCUCCGGAACCUGGGAUAGGUGGAUCUAGAAGGAACGUCGCGGAGCUUGGCGGGAGUCAGAAGACACACCCUCCCCUGUCUGCUCGGGAGAGACACACGAGCUGCUUCCUGAGGAGAGGAGAGGAGAGGAGACGGCUAUAAAUCAACCAAAAGAGACCAGAGAACUCAUCUGGCUGAGGAAGGGAACGAGGUGGCUGUUGGAAGGAGGUGAACACCAGGAGACAUGGCCUCCAGUUCACACCCUGCCUAGCAGCAGCUCCUCCUCCCAGCCUGGCCCGACAGGAUGUCCCGCUAGACAGCCAUGGACGGAGCCCACAGCGCAGGCCUGCAGCUGCAGCCUCUCUCACCCACCAGCGGAGCCACCUCCCCGAGCCUGAGCAGCGGUGAGGGCUCCUUCUCCUACAAGGAAAACUUGAUCGGCGCGCUCUUGGCCAUUUUCGGGCACCUUGUGGUCAGCAUCGCCCUUAACCUGCAGAAAUACUGCCACAUCCGCCUGGCAGGCUCCAAGGACCCCCGGGCCUACUUCAAGACCAAGACAUGGU